RNAcentral lists this ribosomal RNA (2922 nucleotides) under Escherichia coli. RNAcentral describes it as "partial 23S ribosomal RNA". It matches the Rfam family "Bacterial large subunit ribosomal RNA". The record is from RNAcentral. Lineage: Bacteria; Pseudomonadati; Pseudomonadota; Gammaproteobacteria; Enterobacterales; Enterobacteriaceae.
UUGUGAGGUUAAGCGACUAAGCGUACACGGUGGAUGCCCUGGCAGUCAGAGGCGAUGAAGGACGUGCUAAUCUGCGAUAAGCGUCGGUGAGGUGAUAUGAACCGUUAUAACCGGCGAUUUCCGAAUGGGGAAACCCAGUGUGUUUCGACACACUAUCAUUAACUGAAUCCAUAGGUUAAUGAGGCGAACCGGGGGAACUGAAACAUCUAAGUACCCCGAGGAAAAGAAAUCAACCGAGAUUCCCCCAGUAGCGGCGAGCGAACGGGGAGGAGCCCAGAGCCUGAAUCAGUGUGUGUGUUAGUGGAAGCGUCUGGAAAGGCGCGCGAUACAGGGUGACAGCCCCGUACACAAAAAUGCACAUAUUGUGAGCUCGAUGAGUAGGGCGGGACACGUGGUAUCCUGUCUGAAUAUGGGGGGACCAUCCUCCAAGGCUAAAUACUCCUGACUGACCGAUAGUGAACCAGUACCGUGAGGGAAAGGCGAAAAGAACCCCGGCGAGGGGAGUGAAAAAGAACCUGAAACCGUGUACGUACAAGCAGUGGGAGCCUCUUUAUGGGGUGACUGCGUACCUUUUGUAUAAUGGGUCAGCGACUUAUAUUCUGUAGCAAGGUUAACCGAAUAGGGGAGCCGAAGGGAAACCGAGUCUUAACUGGGCGUUAAGUUGCAGGGUAUAGACCCGAAACCCGGUGAUCUAGCCAUGGGCAGGUUGAAGGUUGGGUAACACUAACUGGAGGACCGAACCGACUAAUGUUGAAAAAUUAGCGGAUGACUUGUGGCUGGGGGUGAAAGGCCAAUCAAACCGGGAGAUAGCUGGUUCUCCCCGAAAGCUAUUUAGGUAGCGCCUCGUGAAUUCAUCUCCGGGGGUAGAGCACUGUUUCGGCAAGGGGGUCAUCCCGACUUACCAACCCGAUGCAAACUGCGAAUACCGGAGAAUGUUAUCACGGGAGACACACGGCGGGUGCUAACGUCCGUCGUGAAGAGGGAAACAACCCAGACCGCCAGCUAAGGUCCCAAAGUCAUGGUUAAGUGGGAAACGAUGUGGGAAGGCCCAGACAGCCAGGAUGUUGGCUUAGAAGCAGCCAUCAUUUAAAGAAAGCGUAAUAGCUCACUGGUCGAGUCGGCCUGCGCGGAAGAUGUAACGGGGCUAAACCAUGCACCGAAGCUGCGGCAGCGACACUAUGUGUUGUUGGGUAGGGGAGCGUUCUGUAAGCCUGUGAAGGUGGCCUGUGAGGGUUGCUGGAGGUAUCAGAAGUGCGAAUGCUGACAUAAGUAACGAUAAAGCGGGUGAAAAGCCCGCUCGCCGGAAGACCAAGGGUUCCUGUCCAACGUUAAUCGGGGCAGGGUGAGUCGACCCCUAAGGCGAGGCCGAAAGGCGUAGUCGAUGGGAAACAGGUUAAUAUUCCUGUACUUGGUGUUACUGCGAAGGGGGGACGGAGAAGGCUAUGUUGGCCGGGCGACGGUUGUCCCGGUUUAAGCGUGUAGGCUGGUUUUCCAGGCAAAUCCGGAAAACCAAGGCUGAGGCGUGAUGACGAGGCACUACGGUGCUGAAGCGACAAAUGCCCUGCUUCCAGGAAAAGCCUCUAAGCAUCAGGUAACAUCAAAUCGUACCCCAAACCGACACAGGUGGUCAGGUAGAGAAUACCAAGGCGCUUGAGAGAACUCGGGUGAAGGAACUAGGCAAAAUGGUGCCGUAACUUCGGGAGAAGGCACGCUGAUAUGUAGGUGAAGCGACUUGCUCGUGGAGCUGAAAUCAGUCGAAGAUACCAGCUGGCUGCAACUGUUUAUUAAAAACACAGCACUGUGCAAACACGAAAGUGGACGUAUACGGUGUGACGCCUGCCCGGUGCCGGAAGGUUAAUUGAUGGGGUUAGCGGUAACGCGAAGCUCUUGAUCGAAGCCCCGGUAAACGGCGGCCGUAACUAUAACGGUCCUAAGGUAGCGAAAUUCCUUGUCGGGUAAGUUCCGACCUGCACGAAUGGCGUAAUGAUGGCCAGGCUGUCUCCACCCGAGACUCAGUGAAAUUGAACUCGCUGUGAAGAUGCAGUGUACCCGCGGCAAGACGGAAAGACCCCGUGAACCUUUACUAUAGCUUGACACUGAACAUUGAGCCUUGAUGUGUAGGAUAGGUGGGAGGCUUUGAAGUGUGGACGCCAGUCUGCAUGGAGCCGACCUUGAAAUACCACCCUUUAAUGUUUGAUGUUCUAACGUUGGCCCGUAAUCCGGGUUGCGGACAGUGUCUGGUGGGUAGUUUGACUGGGGCGGUCUCCUCCUAAAGAGUAACGGAGGAGCACGAAGGUUGGCUAAUCCUGGUCGGACAUCAGGAGGUUAGUGCAAUGGCAUAAGCCAGCUUGACUGCGAGCGUGACGGCGCGAGCAGGUGCGAAAGCAGGUCAUAGUGAUCCGGUGGUUCUGAAUGGAAGGGCCAUCGCUCAACGGAUAAAAGGUACUCCGGGGAUAACAGGCUGAUACCGCCCAAGAGUUCAUAUCGACGGCGGUGUUUGGCACCUCGAUGUCGGCUCAUCACAUCCUGGGGCUGAAGUAGGUCCCAAGGGUAUGGCUGUUCGCCAUUUAAAGUGGUACGCGAGCUGGGUUUAGAACGUCGUGAGACAGUUCGGUCCCUAUCUGCCGUGGGCGCUGGAGAACUGAGGGGGGCUGCUCCUAGUACGAGAGGACCGGAGUGGACGCAUCACUGGUGUUCGGGUUGUCAUGCCAAUGGCACUGCCCGGUAGCUAAAUGCGGAAGAGAUAAGUGCUGAAAGCAUCUAAGCACGAAACUUGCCCCGAGAUGAGUUCUCCCUGAGACUUAGAGUCUCCUGAAGGAACGUUGAAGACGACGACGUUGAUAGGCCGGGUGUGUAAGCGCAGCGAUGCGUUGAGCUAACCGGUACUAAUGAACCGUGAGGCUUAACCUUACAACGCCGAAG